ACUCCUUCUCUUCUCCACCGUCUGCAGAAAACUCUGCAAACUUGACGCCACCAACUCUCCUGCCACCACCAACCGCGUAUGCAAAUUCUCGAAUCAUCCACCAAAUUCACCACCAACUUCUCGUACGCCCCAUACUACCCUGUUGUGAUGUCAAUCAACCGAUUUCAUCGACUUCACACGUCUCCUCCUGCUGUAGCCAUUUGCGUGUGAAAUUGAAGAAGUUGGUUGGAAGUCAUUGUUGGAGGAAAUGAAGAGCCUAAAGCCUAGAAUCAGUAGAGUGGAAAUCAGUCGAAUUUGGUACCUGCAACUGCUGUGCAAAACAAGGAGAAAGAGAAGCAGAACAAAACUGUUUUAGUGCCUCAAACAGGUGGUGUGGUGCUGUGAAGAAAAGAGCUGAAAAAUUCUGAAGUUUGUGCUGCACAGGUUUGGGGUAAAAGCCUGAAUUGGGCUUAACUUUCAACCAAACCGUAAGCCUAAAUCCAAAUUUGAACCCUGUUGUGGGCUUGUUUAAAUUUCUAUGGGCUUGUAAUUGUGAUUUUGAAAAUCAAACUCUGAGCCAAGUUUUUAACUGAA
Papaver somniferum (opium poppy) is the source of this 573-nucleotide long non-coding RNA. RefSeq lists it as uncharacterized. The transcript has 2 exons. Lineage: Eukaryota; Viridiplantae; Streptophyta; Magnoliopsida; Ranunculales; Papaveraceae. The record is from RefSeq and is a predicted model, not a curated record.